Molecule: RNA transcript, 521 nt
Organism: Enhydra lutris kenyoni (northern sea otter)
Lineage: Eukaryota; Metazoa; Chordata; Mammalia; Carnivora; Mustelidae
Gene name: 40S ribosomal protein S7 pseudogene
Exons: 1
Source: RefSeq, a predicted model, not a curated record
CCUAGGCCGGCGCUCUCACCACGGAGAAGGCCAUGUUCAGUUCGAGGUUGAAGAUCGUGAAGCCCAAUGGCGAGAAGCCGGACGAGCUCGAGUCCGGCAUCUCCCAGGCUCUGCCAGAGUUGGAGAUGAGCUCCGACCUCAGAGCCCAGGUAAGGGAGCUGAGUGUCACGGCAUCCAAGGAAACUGAAGUUGGCGGUGUUCGGGAAGCUAUUACUAUCUUUGUUCCCGUUCCUCAACUGAAAUCUUUCCAGAAAAUCCAAGUCCGGCAAGUCCGUGAAUUGGAGAAAAAGUUCAAUGGGAAGCACGUUGCCUUUAUCGCUCAGAGAAGAAUUCUGCCUAAACCAACUUGAAAAAGUCAUAUAAAAAAAUAAGCAAAAGCAUCCCAGGAGCCGCACUUUGACAGCUGUGCAUGCCGCGAUCCUGAAGGACUUGGUUUUCCCAAGCCAAACUGUGGGCAAGAGAAUUCAUGUGAAACUGGAUGGUAGUCGGCUCAUCAAGGUCCAUUUGGAUAAAGCACAGCA